AAGUCGUAACAAGGUAACCGUAGGUGAACCUGCGGUUGGAUCAUUAAAAAUCAGAGUUUUAGAACUCGCACUAGACUGCUUUAUAGUAGUCUGGUAGACCCCUGUGAAUUGUUGGCACUUUAAUGUGUACUUUACUUUAUAAUGACUGAAUCAAGUAGAUUAAUUAAAAUAACUUUUAACAACGGAUCUCUUGGCUCCCGCAACGAUGAAGAACGCAGCGAAAUGCGAUACGUAAUGUGAAUUGCAGACCGUGAAUCAUCUAAUCUUUGAACGCAUAUUGCGCUCCCUGGUAUUCCGGAGAGCAUGCCUGUUUGAGAAUCGACAAACAACAUCAACCCCUUGGGAUUUUACAAACGUAGAUUUCAGGUGGUUGGACUUGGACACUUAUCGUCACUGAUAACGUCUGUAAAACAGCGUCGACCUUGGCUUCAUUGUUACUUGGAACGUAUUUACUUGACUCUGGUCAUUAACUUGCGAUUAUCCACUGUGGCAGUUAAGUGAAGACAUUGGCGACUAAGACCGCAAAGUCAAAACACUUACCGUGUUAAACUUGGUCUCAAAUCAGGCAAGAGUACCCGCUGAACUUAAGCAUAUCAAUAAGCGGAGGAAAAGAAACUAACAAGGAUUCCCCUAGUAACGGCGAGUGAAGCGGGAAGUGCUCAAAUUUGAAAUCUCGUAGGUUCCCUGCGCGAAUUGUAGUUUAGAGAAAUGUUUUCGGGGGUAAACUAAGUUAAAGUCUCCUGGAACGGAGUAUCGUAGAGGGUGAUAAUCCCGUGCUUGGCUUAGAGCUUACUCCCAUGUGAUACAUUUUCAAAGAGUCGGGUUGUUUGGGAAUGCAGCCCAAAAUGGGUGGUAAACACCAUCUAAAGCUAAAUAAUGGCGGGAGACCGAUAGCGAACAAGUACCGUGAGGGAAAGAUGAAAAGAACUUUGAAAAGAGAGUUAAAUAGUACGUGAAAUUGUUAAAAGGGAAACGUUUGAAACCAGUAUUGAGGCUUGACACCCAGCGUAGUCUAUGGAUUGCGUUGCUCUAUCAAGACUCAAGUCAACAUCAGUUUGACUUGGAGUAAACGCUGCGAGGAAGGUAACCUUUGGGUAUUAUAGCCUUGUAGUAUGCUCCGGGUUGGACUGAGGAUCGCAGCACAGUCUUGGGGGAACCUAUUGCCUCUUGAUGGCGUUGUGUAGACUGCUUGCAGACUGCACUUGGCUUCAGAGAGAUCGGUGGGUGUACCACUCUUGUGCUUAAGAUGUUGACGAAAUGGUUUUAAGCGACC
Molecule: ribosomal RNA, 1273 nt
Filed under: uncultured fungus
Lineage: Eukaryota; Fungi
Description: eukaryotic LSU rRNA
Rfam family: Eukaryotic large subunit ribosomal RNA (bases 552-1273)
Source: RNAcentral